AGCUUUAUAGUCAAAAAUGAUAUAAAAUUGCAAAUUUUAAGUUAUAUAGUUAUAAGAAUAUAUUAAGGCUU
Molecule: transfer RNA, 71 nt
Filed under: Celastrina oreas
Lineage: Eukaryota; Metazoa; Arthropoda; Insecta; Lepidoptera; Lycaenidae
Also listed under: 1 other name
Description: tRNA-Cys
Source: RNAcentral